This 279-nucleotide ribosomal RNA is filed under the name Triticum aestivum (bread wheat). RNAcentral describes it as "partial small subunit ribosomal RNA". Lineage: Eukaryota; Viridiplantae; Streptophyta; Magnoliopsida; Poales; Poaceae. The record is from RNAcentral.
AUGUGGUGCUCCCCCCACGUUCCAAGCCGAAGGUGCCUCCUGAAGAUAGGACAAGAAAAGAGGGAGGCAGAUCCACCGCGACCAAGAGCAGGUCAGGCGGCGGCCAUGGCACGCCCAGAUCCGCCAGCGCCAUCGUCAUCGAGCACCUCUGCUCCGAGCGUCGGAUCCACCUCGGGCUCCAUCUACACAACCACGCACUGGCAGCCGCUGCCAUGGAAGGUUCUCUAUGUGCUUGCUUCUUCCCUUCCCAAGACGCUGUUGCUCCGACGCCAUGGAUAA